UACGGUCACCUGACCUUAUGGCAUAUCUCUGCGGCGUUGUGAUGCACAAGGACUUACCUGGAAUUUCCCACCCCUGUAAAGUGUGUUGGAGAUUAUAUAAGGCUAAAAAAAUCCACUUUCGACCCCAAGCGAAGCUCAUCUCGAUCUCGGGAACUCCUGUCUCCAGCACCUUCUAUCCAUCCCACCAUGAACUGGAUUGGGCUAAUCCUGGCAGGUUUGCGUCCAGUUAGCGUCCAACUUCCAGCCAUCCGAAACCAUCCGCAUUAUCCAAUUCCCGCCGAAUGCCCGUGUUGGACAAACCGUCUUCCUUCACUUGGAAGGUGCUCAAUUUCCUAUCCAGUGCGACUGGUUCCGAGGCAGUGAGCCGAACAGAAACAGACAGAUAUUGAAAAUGGGGGAUAACCAGUUCACUUUAAGAGGUCCAGCCUACACAGGGAGGGAAGAUCUAUGGAGAGGAUGCUCCUUAAUGAUCCGAAAUGUCCAAGCCUCUGAUUCUGGACCUUACACCAUCCUAAUGCUGGAAUUCCGGGGAAGUGAAUUCGUAACGGCAGUGGGACAUCUACAAGUUUCUUCCUAAAGAUGCUUGGAAGAUGCUUCUGUCCAUUUGGCUGUCUUGAUCUUUGGAAGAGAAACAAAGGAGCUGCAGUUCGUCAGCUGCAGAGGGAUCCCCAGAAGGGAUCAGCCAUUCACUUUCUCUGUGUUCCCUUCGUCGCUUCUUCCCUUCACCCACAACAACCAUGAAAACAUCUUCUGGCAAAACGGACGUGUCUCCUAAAACAGCUCUUUGCAAUGCGGUUCCCAGGAUCCAAAUCCGAAUUCACUUCUGUGUUGGCUGAUGUAAAACAGCUUGGAAGGUUGCAAUUUGCAAGAAACCUUCUCUACCCCACCCCCACCCCCAUUAUCUCUGAACUGCCAAAUGCUUGAUCGCAAUUCCUCCUCCGCAAAGAGGUGGCUUAUAUGUCAUAGCUGGCCAUCAUCAGCCAUCAAAGCCUAUGAAGCAGAGCUGGGUGGUAUUCAGCCGGUUCACAUCAGUUCGGGAGAACCGGUAGCGGCGACCGGGCGUAAUCCCAUCCUAUAUGGAUUUAUUUUUGACGCCGCAUCCAUGUGUGGACGGCGCGCGUGAGUGAAUUGGCGUCUUUUGUGACGCCAUAUGCAUGUGCUCACAUGUGCUCACAUUUCCGAUGCUAGGCGAACCGGUUGCUAUAGUAUGUGAAUUCCACCUCUGCUAUGAAGCACGUGUGUCAUUCAACAUGUGACAAGAGAGGGAUGGGGGAUGGGGACAUGUCUUUGAAGUUGAAAGCUAAAAGUUGCUUUGGAGCAGUGGUUCUCAACCUUUAUAGUGCUGCGACCCCUUUAAUACAAUUCCCCAUGAUGUGGCGACCCCUUUAAUACAAUUCCCCAUGAUGUGGCGACCCCAACCGUAAAAUUAUUUUCGUUUUGAAUUUAUCGCGCCUGAAGCCGUAUUGGCUAGUGAUCUGAACUGCUUGCGAUUGCCUUGAGGACGGAGGCAUUAAAGCGGAGACUCCUCCCCUAUUAAGUUUAUCGCGCCUGAAGCCAGAUUAGGCUAGCGAUUGGGAGUGAUUGCAGCUGGCUUGAGAGGGAGACAUCAGAGCAAAGAUUUUUCCCUUUUUUAAUUCAUCACGCCUGAAGCCGAAUUCGGCUAGCGAUUUGAAGAGCCUGCAGCUGGCUUGUGGAGUCAACCAUUGGAGCGCGAUUCUUCGACUCGCAAGUAUACUUCCCAUAUUUCCGAUGGUCUUAGGCUACUCCUGGCAAAUCGUCAUUCGACCCCCAACGGGGUCCCGACCCACAGGUUGAGAACCGCUGCUUUGGAGGAACAAAUACAUGCAUACAAUCUAGAGUGGGAUUAUUUCCCCCCCCCAAUGUUAUAUUCAAUUCUAAACAGAAAAAGGUCAAAUGAUCCUACGUUUAGUAAGACCGACAUCUUAAAUUGCAAUCAAUAUCGAUUUAAUAUUUCUCUCUCUUUUCCUUAUUUCCAAUAGUCUAAAUCAAUAUUCCUCAACCUUGGCUGCUUUAAGAGGUAUGGAUAUCAACUCUCAGGAUUCUUGAUUAGGGGCUGACUGGGGAAUUCUGGGAGUUGAACUCCGUAGCUCUUCAAGGUCCAAAAGUUGAAGGGACGUAGUCUAAAGUUAGCUAAACAAUAGAGUGUCAAUAAUCUUCAAUGAAUAUUGAUCUUCAAUGUAUAUUGGAAAUGUAUAUAAUCUUCAAUGUAUAUUGUGCCAAAGCAAUGUAAUCUAUUAAGAUUUCCAACUACCUAAAUAAAUACAGUAUAAUUAUUUGCAGAAGCAUGAAUCUAUUAAUGACCAAGAAUUUUAGAAGGGUUGAUCAAACUUCUUUACCCAGAACUGAAAAUGUUACACACACACACUCUUUAAAAAUUGUGC
Ahaetulla prasina is the source of this 2402-nucleotide long non-coding RNA. RefSeq lists it as uncharacterized. Lineage: Eukaryota; Metazoa; Chordata; Lepidosauria; Squamata; Colubridae. The transcript has 4 exons. The record is from RefSeq and is a predicted model, not a curated record.